GAUGAAGAACGUAGCGAAAUGCGAUACGUAAUGUGAAUUGCAGAAUUCAGUGAAUCAUCGAGUCUUUGAACGCACAUUGCGCCCCCUGGUAUUCCGGGGGGCAUGCCUGUCCGAGCGUCAUUGCUGCCCUCAAGCACGGCUUGUGUGUUGGGCCUCCGUCCUCCUCCCGGGGGACGGGCCCGAAAGGCAGCGGCGGCACCGCGUCCGGUCCUCGAGCGUAUGGGGCUUCGUCACCCGCUCUUGUAGGCCCGGCCGGCGCUUGCCGACACAUCAAUCUUUUUUCCAGGUUGACCUCGGAUCAGGUAGGGAUACCCGCUGAACUUAAGCAUAGCAAUAAGCGGAGGA
This 345-nucleotide unclassified non-coding RNA is filed under the name soil metagenome. RNAcentral's name for it is "partial contains 5.8S ribosomal RNA, internal transcribed spacer 2, and large subunit ribosomal RNA". The stretch from base 1 to 120 matches the Rfam family "5.8S ribosomal RNA", at positions 35 to 154 of the family's 154-position model. The record is from RNAcentral.